Molecule: long non-coding RNA, 408 nt
Organism: Musa acuminata AAA Group (dessert banana)
Lineage: Eukaryota; Viridiplantae; Streptophyta; Magnoliopsida; Zingiberales; Musaceae
Exons: 2
Source: RefSeq, a predicted model, not a curated record
AUUACCCCUCGGCUCGCCUCCUUCCGGUCUUCCCGACCUCUCUCGCUCAUUUGGAAGGAGCAACGGUGCCCCUGCUGGACCGUAGGAUAGCUUGUCGCUUGCUUAAAUGUUAAGAUCGGGCUGAGGCAGUGGAAAGCUAAAAGAUUUUGGGCAGAUCUUUAUUAGUAUAUAUGUUUUUGUUGUAUAAGUACACUCGGCAUCUAAUGAAAUGUUGACGAUGGAUCUAAACUUGUGGAUGUGGUAUAAGUUUAAAGGACCUCUCAUGUUUAGGAUUCUGGAAUGUUAAGUUUAAUUUGUGUAACGAUAUGAACUUAUGGUAAACGUUGGUUUUGUGACUAUAUAGACUCCCACACUUGUGAAUUUAUGUUGUGGUUAUUAAUUUGAUGAGUUGGGUUCAUAUUUUAUGAA